RNAcentral lists this ribosomal RNA (922 nucleotides) under Saccharomycetales sp. LM357. Its description in RNAcentral is "eukaryotic LSU rRNA". The stretch from base 1 to 361 matches the Rfam family "Eukaryotic small subunit ribosomal RNA", at positions 1471 to 1831 of the family's 1831-position model. The record is from RNAcentral. Lineage: Eukaryota; Fungi; Ascomycota; Saccharomycetes; Saccharomycetales.
CCUAAGAGUUCUGGGCCGCACGCGCGCUACACUGACGGAGCCAACGAGUAUUAACCUUGGCCGAGAGGUCUGGGAAAUCUUGUGAAACUCCGUCGUGCUGGGGAUAGAGCAUUGUAAUUAUUGCUCUUCAACGAGGAAUUCCUAGUAAGCGCAAGUCAUCAGCUUGCGUUGAUUACGUCCCUGCCCUUUGUACACACCGCCCGUCGCUACUACCGAUUGAAUGGCUUAGUGAGGCCUCCGGAUUGGUUUAAAGAAGGGGGCAACUCCAUCUUGGAACCGAAAAGCUGGUCAAACUUGGUCAUUUAGAGGAAGUAAAAGUCGUAACAAGGUUUCCGUAGGUGAACCUGCGGAAGGAUCAUUACAGUAUUCUUUUUGCCAGCGCUUAAUUGCGCGGCGAAAAAACCUUACACACAGUGUUUUUUGUUAUUACAAGAACUCUUGCUUUGGUCUGGACUAGAAAUAGUUUGGGCCAGAGGUUUACUAAACUAAACUUCAAUAUUUAUAUUGAAUUGUUAUUUAUUUUAAUUGUCAAUUUGUUGAUUAAAUUCAAAAAAUCUUCAAAACUUUCAACAACGGAUCUCUUGGUUCUCGCAUCGAUGAAGAACGCAGCGAAAUGCGAUAAGUAAUAUGAAUUGCAGAUUUUCGUGAAUCAUCGAAUCUUUGAACGCACAUUGCGCCCUUUGGUAUUCCAAAGGGCAUGCCUGUUUGAGCGUCAUUUCUCUCUCAAACCUUCGGGUUUGGUAUUGAGUGAUACUCUUAGUCGAACUAGGCGUUUGCUUGAAAUGUAUUGCAUGAGUGGUACUGGAUAGUGCUAUAUGACUUUCAAUGUAUUAGGUUUAUCCACUCGUUGAAUAGUUUAAUGGUAUAUUUCUCGGUAUUCUAGGCUCGGCCUUACAUAUAACAACAGUUUGACCUCAAUCAG